GAAGUAAAAGGUCGUAACAAGGUUUCCGUAGGUGAACCUGCGGAAGGAUCAUUAUUGUAUAACCGAGGUGCGAGGGCUGUCGCUGACCCGAAAGGUCGUGCACGCCCGAGUGCCCUCACACACAUCCAUCUCACCCCUAUGUGCACCACCGCGUGGGUCCCCCUUUGGCUUGUUCGGGGGGGGGCUUACGUUUUCACACAAACUUUGUAUGCAGUGUAGAAUGUAUUUUUUGUAUUUGCGAUCACGCAAUCAAUACAACUUUCAACAACGGAUCUCUUGGCUCUC
Molecule: unclassified non-coding RNA, 285 nt
Filed under: plant metagenome
Description: partial contains small subunit ribosomal RNA, internal transcribed spacer 1, and 5.8S ribosomal RNA
Rfam family: Eukaryotic small subunit ribosomal RNA (bases 1-54)
Source: RNAcentral